GUGGUCUGUGAUGAUUUUAAUGUUCUUUACCUAAUUCCUUUUGUAGUAUGUGGACAUUUUAGUCACUACCUCUUCUGAGACCC
This is a small nucleolar RNA of Dermochelys coriacea (leatherback sea turtle), 83 nucleotides long. RefSeq annotates it as small nucleolar RNA SNORD11. NCBI's taxonomy places the organism in Eukaryota, Metazoa, Chordata, Testudines, Dermochelyidae. The record is from RefSeq and is a predicted model, not a curated record. The transcript has a single exon.